GACGAACGCUGGCGGCGUGCCUAAUACAUGCAAGUUGAGCGAUGAAGAUUGGUGCUUGCACCAAUUUGAAGAGCAGCGAACGGGUGAGUAACGCGUGGGGAAUCUGCCUUUGAGCGGGGGACAACAUUUGGAAACGAAUGCUAAUACCGCAUAACAACUUUAAACAUAAGUUUUAAGUUUGAAAGAUGCAAUUGCAUCACUCAAAGAUGAUCCCGCGUUGUAUUAGCUAGUUGGUGAGGUAAAGGCUCACCAAGGCGAUGAUACAUAGCCGACCUGAUAGGGUGAUCGGCCACAUUGGGACUGAGACACGGCCCAAACUCCUACGGGAGGCAGCAGUAGGGAAUCUUCGGCAAUGGACGAAAGUCUGGCCGAGCAACGCCGCGUGAGUGAAGAAGGUUUUCGGAUCGUAAAACUCUGUUGGUAGAGAAGAACGUUGGUGAGAGUGGAAAGCUCAUCAAGUGACGGUAACUACCCAGAAAGGGACGGCUAACUACGUG
Molecule: ribosomal RNA, 497 nt
Filed under: uncultured bacterium
Lineage: Bacteria
Description: partial 16S ribosomal RNA
Rfam family: Bacterial small subunit ribosomal RNA
Source: RNAcentral